AGAGAAAUAGUUGGGUCAAAUGGUAGUUGCAUUCCCAGAUUUCCAAGGAAUCUCCAUACUGCUUUCCAAAUUGGCUGCAUCAAUUUGCAGUCCCACCAGCAAU
RNAcentral lists this microRNA precursor (103 nucleotides) under Marmota monax (woodchuck). Lineage: Eukaryota; Metazoa; Chordata; Mammalia; Rodentia; Sciuridae. The record is from RNAcentral.